RNAcentral lists this ribosomal RNA (492 nucleotides) under uncultured bacterium. RNAcentral's name for it is "partial 16S ribosomal RNA". It matches the Rfam family "Bacterial small subunit ribosomal RNA", at positions 29 to 507 of the family's 1533-position model. The record is from RNAcentral.
AGUGAACGCUGGCGGUAGACCUAACACAUGCAAGUCGAACGGCAGCACAGUAAGAGCUUGCUCUUACGGGUGGCGAGUGGCGGACGGGUGAGGAAUACAUCGGAAUCUACUUUUUCGUGGGGGAUAACGUAGGGAAACUUACGCUAAUACCGCAUACGACCUACGGGUGAAAGCAGGGGAUCUUCGGACCUUGCGCGAUUGAAUGAGCCGAUGUCGGAUUAGCUAGUUGGCGGGGUAAAGGCCCACCAAGGCGACGAUCCGUAGCUGGUCUGAGAGGAUGAUCAGCCACACUGGAACUGAGACACGGUCCAGACUCCUACGGGAGGCAGCAGUGGGGAAUAUUGGACAAUGGGCGCAAGCCUGAUCCAGCCAUACCGCGUGGGUGGAGAAGGCCUUCGGGUUGUAAAGCCCUUUUGUUGGGAAAGAAAAGCAGCAGGUUAAUACCCCGCUGUUCUGACGGUACCCAAAGAAUAAGCACCGGCUAACUUCGUG